This 497-nucleotide ribosomal RNA is filed under the name uncultured bacterium. RNAcentral's name for it is "partial 16S ribosomal RNA". It matches the Rfam family "Bacterial small subunit ribosomal RNA", at positions 28 to 507 of the family's 1533-position model. The record is from RNAcentral.
GACGAACGCUGGCGGCGUGCCUAAUACAUGCAAGUUGAGCGCUGAAGGUUGGUACUUGUACCGACUGGAUGAGCAGCGAACGGGUGAGUAACGCGUGGGGAAUCUGCCUUUGAGCGGGGGACAACAUUUGGAAACGAAUGCUAAUACCGCAUAAAAACUUUAAACACAAGUUUUAAGUUUGAAAGAUGCAAUUGCAUCACUCAAAGAUGAUCCCGCGUUGUAUUAGCUAGUUGGUGAGGUAAAGGCUCACCAAGGCGAUGAUACAUAGCCGACCUGAGAGGGUGAUCGGCCAAAUUGGGACUGAGACACGGCCCAAACUCCUACGGGAGGCAGCAGUAGGGAAUCUUCGGCAAUAGACGAAAGUCUGACCGAGCAACGCCGCGUGAGUGAAGAAGGUUUUCGGAUCGUAAAACUCUGUUGGUAGAGAAGAACGUUGGUGAGAGUGGAAAGCUCAUCAAGUGACGGUAACUACCCAGAAAGGGACGGCUAACUACGUG